UCCGAGUUGGCCCCGGCAGUCUCCUAUGAGUCCCCACCAUAACGUGCUGGCAACAUAGGACGAGGGUUGCGCUCGUUGCGGGACUUAACCCAACAUCUCACGACGCGAGCUGACGACAGCCAUGCACCACCUGUGACAGUGCCCCGAAGGGAGGGUGUGUUUCCACACCUGUCACUGACAUGUCAAACCCAGGUAAGGUUCUUCGCGUUGCGUCGAAUUAAACCACAUGCUCCGCUGCUUGUGCGGGCCCCCGUCAAUUCCUUUGAGUUUUAGCCUUGCGGCCGUACUCCCCAGGCGGGGUGCUUAGUGCGUUAGCUUCGGCACGGAGGGAGUCGACACCCCCCACACCUAGCACCCAUCGUUUACGGCGUGGACUAC
Molecule: unclassified non-coding RNA, 378 nt
Filed under: uncultured Thermoleophilia bacterium
Lineage: Bacteria; Bacillati; Actinomycetota; Thermoleophilia
Description: contains 16S-23S intergenic spacer region
Source: RNAcentral